RNAcentral lists this long non-coding RNA (449 nucleotides) under Medicago truncatula (barrel medic). Its description in RNAcentral is "long non-coding RNA (MTRU_LNC007751)". Lineage: Eukaryota; Viridiplantae; Streptophyta; Magnoliopsida; Fabales; Fabaceae. The record is from RNAcentral.
UCCAUCGUUAAUUCUAACUGCAACUGAGAUGUGCAUAGGUAUAGUCUACAAGACUAAAACUAUAUCUAUGUGAUCAAUAUCAUAUCAACAGGUUUUUUGUAUACUAUUUCUUAUCUCGCUUCUCCUCCAAGAAUUGCAGAAAACCGAAAUACAUAUUAUAAUCACAAACUUCAUAUUGAAUACUAUUUCUUUCUUAUAAUCAAACCAAUAGUAAAGCCGACUGCCCAAGAAUAAAAUUCUCUAUUAUAAUUGCUCUCUCUCACACAAGUAAUUUCCUCUUCCGUUUAAAAACAAAAUACAAAAUAACAGUACAUCUCGUGAUGAUUUGAACAUAGGUUACCUAUUGGUUAUUACCUUGAUUGGUCAUUAAUUUUGUCAAAACGGAUUCCUUCAGAAUAUGCAAAUGUGUAAGCCUCUCCAGAGACAUUAACAAUUCUUCCUUCUUUCUU